Molecule: ribosomal RNA, 253 nt
Filed under: uncultured bacterium
Lineage: Bacteria
Description: partial 16S ribosomal RNA
Rfam family: Bacterial small subunit ribosomal RNA
Source: RNAcentral
GACAGAGGGUGCAAACGUUGUUCGGAAUUACUGGGCGUAAAGCGCAUGUAGGCGGCGAUUCAAGUCGGGGGUGAAAUCCUGAGGCUCAACCUCAGAACUGCCUUCGAUACUGUAUUGCUGGAGUAUGGAAGAGGUAGGUGGAACUGCGAGUGUAGAGGUGAAAUUCGUAGAUAUUCGCAAGAACACCAGUGGCGAAGGCGGCCUACUGGUCCAUCACUGACGCUGAGAUGCGAAAGCGUGGGGAGCAAACAGG